Long non-coding RNA from Spinacia oleracea (spinach), 430 nucleotides. RefSeq lists it as uncharacterized. The record is from RefSeq and is a predicted model, not a curated record. Lineage: Eukaryota; Viridiplantae; Streptophyta; Magnoliopsida; Caryophyllales; Amaranthaceae. The transcript is spliced from 3 exons.
GUUUCAACAAUUUAGAGGAUCUAUGCAGAUAGCUCCAAGAAGAAAGUGGCUGAUGUUAUCAUGUUGAAUCAUAUAGGGAACAUAGAAGAAAACCUCUAAAGAGAAGAACAUGAAAGAGGGUUGGAAGCUAAACCAUGGAGAUGGCAUUGCCUUCUUGUUUUCUGUCAGAGAGCCAAACAACAUUGAGAAAGUACGCCAGGAGAAGGUAAGGUGCAAGGGAAGUUCAAAUUCGGAAACCACGCAAACAGAGGUGGAGGCGAACAUAUGCUUAUGCCCGCACCGCUAAUACUUAUUAUUUUCAAUAUGUUACUUUUGAAUUAUGUAGACUUUUGAGACUUAUUAUUUUAUUUUUGGAUAUUACAAUUGGUGUAUAGUGGGAUAAUUUUUUUGUAAUUAUAAGAAUUAUUUUGGAAUUGCCAAAUUGUUUGAA